Vicia faba (fava bean) is the source of this 273-nucleotide non-coding RNA. NCBI's taxonomy places the organism in Eukaryota, Viridiplantae, Streptophyta, Magnoliopsida, Fabales, Fabaceae. The record is from the annotation of a GenBank genome assembly.
AUGCAAUUCUUCUUUGAUCAAAGUUCUAUGUUGCAUUCGAGAUUCAUGCUACCAUUCAAAUGUAACAAGUUUCGUUUUAAUACAUGGUUCAUUCAAGACACAAAAGAUACAAUAACAUUUCAAGUGUUCAUGAGCUUAAAUUUUCAAACAUACAAGAGAAGGAUUCAAACCUUUUUACAUGGUCUAACUUCUAAACUAUUUCAUCAAAUUACAAGAGGAAUGUUUCUAAAUUACAAAGAAAAUCAAAUGAACAUUUGUCCUAAGAGAAACUAA